RNAcentral lists this long non-coding RNA (1458 nucleotides) under Anser brachyrhynchus (Pink-footed goose). RNAcentral's name for it is "lncRNA (ENSABRG00000002020.1)". Lineage: Eukaryota; Metazoa; Chordata; Aves; Anseriformes; Anatidae. The record is from RNAcentral.
UAUGUAUGGCUGCUCAGUCACAGGCACAAGCAUUACUAAGGCUGUGGUUUUAACUCUUUAGCUAUCUGGGUAUUUAGUCUCAGAGUAAUAAAGGAAAGCAAUUAUACACUUUAUUGCUCCUAGGCCAUUAGCAAAAACUUGUUCUCAUGCUCCCCACCUUCCAGCUGAGCCUGCUUACCCCCAGCAAGGCCCCUCUACCUGCUGUUACUAAAGACCAUGUGGGAUGCAUCUGGGGCUGAUUCCUUCUGUGCUUCUUGCAGGUAGCCUUGGUGCUAACACUAGCAGUUAGGCCUGUAUGGUGAUCCUCCUAAGGAGAACUUUUGAAUUAUUAUUUAACAGGAGGGCUUUGUAUCAGUGUUAUGAUAGUGCUGCCAUUGGCUAACCUAAUCCCUGUCUUAAUUGAUAGGUGCUCCUGUAAGGCAAGGUCUUCUGAAAUGGGUUCUGAUGUAAAACUUGUUGAUUUCAGUAUGAAGCUUUGCAGCAAAGAGAUUUCAUCUCUUAUUGGUAAUUCUGGAAGACUAGAAUGAGCCUGCUUUAUUGUAAAGAGAGGAAAAGGGCUCAGGGAGGAGCGCAGUCGGUCUCCUGCCUGCCUUUGUUUCCGAGGAGUGAAGAGCUCCGCGCACUGGGCGAUGCCUCCCUGCACAUCCACGGGCUUCUGCUCCCCUCUAAUGGCCAAGGAGGCGAGAGGCCCUUGCUGGAGACCGUGCUCUCAGGGCUCUGGUGCCAGAGGGUGCCCAUGUGUCACCCAGCUCUGCUGGGCAUCUCUGAAUCCUCCGAGUCAGCGAUUCCUCCUGCGUACACCAGUGGAUGAAGCCCUCUGACUCUGAUAUUUACUGGGUAGCUCUUCCCUCGGGUUGGAACAAGUGAUGUCCAGCGCCUGCAUUUCACCCAAACAGCUGUAAGAAGUCUCCUGCAGACUGGUGCUUACGAGGCCUCCAUGUACCUGAUAAUGUGUGUUUGCAUGCUCAGAGCUUUGGUGUUAAGAGAGCUCCUCUGUUUAUUGUGUUGUAUGAUCUGCUGUUGCCUUUUUUGUAUUAAAAAAAAAAGCUGUUCAUUGCUGCCUACAUUCUGUUUUGAAUAUCAUUUUGAAGUGCUGAAAAUGUAAGUAAUAUCUCAUUUUACAUCAGCAUCUAAGGAUUAUGUGGGCAUAAGCUUUGCAUUAGCUGAAUGCUAGCAUGAUACUCAGGGUAAUUCCUCUAGCAUCUUCUGUCAAGCUCUUUGCUGCAACGUGUUUUAAAUGCAUUUUUUAAAAAGGUUCCUUUUCAAAGUUAGGGAGUCCGCCAGGAGUAGCCAUUUGUUUCCUUAUCCUCACCAUUCCACCCCUUAAAUCUAAUUAAACUGUAUAGGUGUAACAAAGUCAUGGUUUGCCUGCCAUGCUCUCUCUCUUGGGGUAAAAAGGCAUUUUGACCAUUUUUGAUCAUGAAGGUUGUUCUUUGCUUUCAUCGUGUGGUGGAGAAG